UACGGAAGGCAGCAGUGGGGAAUAUUGCACAAUGGGCGCAAGCCUGAUGCAGCCAUGCCGCGUGUAUGAAGAAGGCCUUCGGGUUGUAAAGUACUUUCAGUCGUGAGGAAGGUGUUAAGGUUAAUAACCUUAGCAAUUGACGUUAGCGACAGAAGAAGCACCGGCUAACUCCGUGCCAGCAGCCGCGGUAAUACGGAGGGUGCGAGCGUUAAUCGGAAUUACUGGGCGUAAAGGGCACGCAGGCGGUUAAUUAAGUUGGAUGUGAAAUCCCCGGGCUUAACCUGGGAAUGGCAUUCAAGACUGGUUAGCUAGAGUCUUGUAGAGGGGGUAGAAUUCCAUGUGUAGCGGUGAAAUGCGUAGAGAUGUGGAGGAAUACCGGUGGCGAAGGCGGCCCCUGGACAAAGACUGACGCCCAUGUGCGAAAGCUGGGGAGCAAACAGGGAUUAGAUACC
Molecule: ribosomal RNA, 452 nt
Filed under: uncultured bacterium
Lineage: Bacteria
Description: bacterial SSU rRNA
Rfam family: Bacterial small subunit ribosomal RNA
Source: RNAcentral